UACGUAGGGUGCAAGCGUUAAUCGGAAUUACUGGGCGUAAAGCGUGCGCAGGCGGUUAUGUAAGACAGGUGUGAAAUCCCCGGGCUUAACCUGGGAACUGCAUUUGUGACUGCAUAGCUAGAGUACGGUAGAGGGGGAUGGAAUUCCGCGUGUAGCAGUGAAAUGCGUAGAUAUGCGGAGGAACACCGAUGGCGAAGGCAAUCCCCUGGACCUGUACUGACACUGAGACACGAAAGCGUGGGGAGCAAACAGG
Molecule: ribosomal RNA, 253 nt
Filed under: uncultured bacterium
Lineage: Bacteria
Description: partial 16S ribosomal RNA
Rfam family: Bacterial small subunit ribosomal RNA
Source: RNAcentral